RNAcentral lists this ribosomal RNA (421 nucleotides) under uncultured Porphyromonadaceae bacterium. RNAcentral's name for it is "bacterial SSU rRNA". It matches the Rfam family "Bacterial small subunit ribosomal RNA", at positions 356 to 774 of the family's 1533-position model. The record is from RNAcentral. Lineage: Bacteria; Pseudomonadati; Bacteroidota; Bacteroidia; Bacteroidales; Porphyromonadaceae.
GAGGAAUAUUGGUCAAUGGGCGAGAGCCUGAACGAGCCAAGUCGCGUGAAGGAAGAAGGAUCUAUGGUUCGUAAACUUCUUUUGCAGGGGAAUAAAGUGCAGGACGUGUCCUGUUUUGUAUGUACCCUGAGAAUAAGGAUCGGCUAACUCCGUGCCAGCAGCCGCGGUAAUACGGAGGAUCCGAGCGUUAUCCGGAUUUAUUGGGUUUAAAGGGUGCGUAGGUGGUUUGAUAAGUCAGCGGUGAAAGUUUGCAGCUCAACUGUAAAAGUGCCUUCGAAACUGGUUUCCUUGAGUGCGGAUAAGGUAGGCGGAAUUUGUGGUGUAGCGGUGAAAUGCAUAGAUAUCACGAGGAACUCCGAUUGCGAAGGCAGCUCACUGGAGUGUAACUGACGCUGAUGCUCGAAAGUGUGGGUAUCAAACA